CGCCAUUUUUUUUCGAUUAUACGGUAUAUAUUUCUAGAGAUUCAAAUGUACCAGCUCUCUAAUUAAAAAUAUCUUCAAAUACCCCAACUCUUUAGUUGUUAAACAACUCAAUACCAAUAGAUUUUUUACAAUGAAUUAUCGAUUAUUCUCUUUCUAAAUAUUAUAGGCAACCCAACUUUUCCUUCUUCAAUAAUAUUUAUUAAAUAUGUUAUUAACAUAUUAUAGUUAUAAAUAAAUUAAAUGAUAACAAAAAAAUAAUAUUACUAAGGGUUUAAUAAAAUCGUUAGGAAAAAGGUAGUAUAAAUUAAAAACAAAACCGGCAACAUUGCACCAUAAUUUCUGUGUCAGAAUCGGCGACAGUUGAAAUAUUUGAAGGCCGUUCAUGUUUAUUAUGUGUUUAUUUGAUAAUUAUUACCAUAUUAAAUAUAUUUUUCAAACAAAAUAUUGUUUAUUUGGUACAGAAACAAAUUAUAAUAACUUAUAUACACUAAUAUUGAAGCCUAGGUAUGUAUUUAUUAAUAAAAUAGGUGAAUUUAGUGUUCCACCGCAGAGCCCAAAUGUUACCGACCGAAUGAAUAGAUAAUGAAAGAUUAUCUUCAUUCAUUACUUGAACUUCAAUUUUGUAUUCUUUAGUCUAAGCUUCAAGAGAGACUUCAAACUACAAAUAAAAUAUAUUUACGGUGAAACGUGGGUGAAACUGGGCGAAACCAUGGAAAACUUUUGAAGAACCGUUAAAAAUCCGUUCAAGUCGGUUAAAAUUUAAAUAUAGAAUUUAGAGAAUUUAUUUGAAGUUAGGUUCGUAUCACUUGGCUAGCUGGUGGCUAGCAAGGUUAUUAGAUUCUACAGGUUACCUCAGUCGGCAGAUUUUAGGCGAGAGGUGCGCGGAGGACGGCGGGUGUGCGUGACGUAGUUCUGAGACCCGCCGUAUCUCUUUUUAAUACCUUCCAUUUCUUUCUUUUUCGUACGGUUUAAUGGCAAUGGCCGUUGGUUUGGUAGUGGUUUUGUAUCGUUUUUGUAUUAUUUCUUUAUUUGCUAAUAUUUCUUUAAGUGUUACUGGUUAAGUUAAUUGUGGUCUGUGAACUACACAUAUUUAAGUACUUUGUGGACAAUUUAUUAUUUGCGUAGAUCUCAGGAACUGGCAAUUAAAAUGCUGUGAACUCAGUGUACAGUUACUACUUGUCAAAAUAGCCUAGAAAAGGCUAAAAAUUUGGAAAAAUUAUUAAAUUUCAUGCUUUCCCGAAGAAUACCGAAAUUACUCAAAUAUGGGUGCAGAUUCAAAGGGUGUAGAGUUGUAGAGAUGGAAAAUGGAAUGUAGAAACUUGUAGGAUUUGUUCAGAUCAUUUUACCGAUGAGAUUAUGAAAGAGAUCUUCAAGUAAGAGGAAUUAUUAGGACUUGGAAACUAAGAAAAACAUUAAAAGCAAUUGUUAUAUAGGUAUGAGUAGAAUCUUAUGUAAAAG
Sitophilus oryzae (rice weevil) is the source of this 1458-nucleotide long non-coding RNA. RefSeq lists it as uncharacterized. NCBI's taxonomy places the organism in Eukaryota, Metazoa, Arthropoda, Insecta, Coleoptera, Curculionidae. The record is from RefSeq and is a predicted model, not a curated record. The transcript is spliced from 3 exons.